CGAGUUAAUUGAACGGCUGCGUGUUUCAUUUGAAGCAUGAGGAAAGUCCGAGCCCCGUAGGACAGGAUAACAGCUAACGGCUGCCGGCGGUGACGCCAGGGAAAGUGCAACAGAGAUAUACCGCCGCAUUUAUGCGGUAAGGGUGGAAAGGCGAGGUAAGAGCUCACCGGCGCCGUGGAGACACGGUUGCCCUGUAAACCCUAUCCGGAGCAACGCUGAAUAAGGCUAUACGCUGGUCCGGCGUGCCUUGAAAAGCGGCUUGAGCGGCAAAGCGAUUUGCCGCCUAGAUAGAUAGUCGUUCACGACAGAACUCGGCUUACAGAUUAACUCACUUU
This 335-nucleotide RNase P RNA is filed under the name Candidatus Equinaster intestinalis. RNAcentral describes it as "RNase P RNA component class A". It matches the Rfam family "Bacterial RNase P class A". Rfam says of the family: Ribonuclease P (RNase P) is a ubiquitous endoribonuclease, found in archaea, bacteria and eukarya as well as chloroplasts and mitochondria. The record is from RNAcentral. Lineage: Bacteria; Bacillati; Bacillota; Clostridia; Eubacteriales; Acutalibacteraceae.